GUAUCCCUGACUUGCCAGCUUGAUCGCUUGUCUUAUUUACCGUUUUCUUAGCGGGUGGUUUAUGUCUGGCCCUUUCGGGUCGCCUGACCUGGGCUGAUGGCGCUUCGUAACGGCUUGUCUGGAGUCCAGCGGCUCUCUAAGGCUUCGAUGUACUAGUACCUGCCACCAAAACAUCGUGAAGGAUUCAGUGAACGUCUUGAAACUUAGUAACACAAGACAAUUCACUGAAUGGUUGUUGGCUCUACCGGAGGAGUCUGAAAUCAACAACGUGUAACUGCUUGGGCAUUGAGUGUUCCGCUGCUUGAGGAAGUAUGUGAGAGGAUCGAU
This 327-nucleotide long non-coding RNA is filed under the name Nicotiana benthamiana. RNAcentral describes it as "long non-coding RNA (NBEN_LNC017573)". Lineage: Eukaryota; Viridiplantae; Streptophyta; Magnoliopsida; Solanales; Solanaceae. The record is from RNAcentral.